This 78-nucleotide microRNA precursor is filed under the name Schistosoma mansoni. RNAcentral describes it as "mir-3492 microRNA precursor family". It matches the Rfam family "mir-3492 microRNA precursor family". The record is from Rfam by way of RNAcentral. Lineage: Eukaryota; Metazoa; Platyhelminthes; Trematoda; Strigeidida; Schistosomatidae.
AGCCUCCUGAAUCCGUGCAGAGAUUUCGUCAGACACCAACCUAUUAGGGCUGAUGAGACUUCCAAGAUAUGUGAAGUU